This is a long non-coding RNA of Photinus pyralis (common eastern firefly), 927 nucleotides long. RefSeq lists it as uncharacterized. NCBI's taxonomy places the organism in Eukaryota, Metazoa, Arthropoda, Insecta, Coleoptera, Lampyridae. The transcript is spliced from 3 exons. The record is from RefSeq and is a predicted model, not a curated record.
UUCCUUCUUAACCAAAUCGAAAUUUCUUCGGCCCAGAGCGUCAUGGGAAGGAGCCAUUAAGAAAAGCAUGACAGAAAGAAACCUGUCGGGGGAGCAAUGCUAUAAUAGAGACGAAUGGAUGAAAAAUCUGGAAAUCAAUCAGCGACGACAGACGCUAUAAACCGAAAAUAUAUAAAUUAUUCCAAAUACACCAUAAUGAUGUAGAUACAACCGUGCGGAAUCAAUUUUAGGAACGCUUCACAUUUCAAUCAACGUCAGUAACUUUCACCUUAAAUAAAAUUAAUCGAAACUUCUCUUAACAUCGCUUCUUUGUUCGCACCUACACUAGCAGCGGGAAAGGUUGAGUUUUCAAAAGAAAUAUUUUCUUUCGAGUAACAUUUUCACUGUAGAAAGGAAAGGGUAGGUACGUUUUUGACGAUUUACUUUUUCAGUGCUUCAUACCUUUAUAAAUAGGAAGCUUAUGCACGCUUCAUCGACCUGAUGUGACACCGUCAAUUUUGCAAGGAAGCACGUAAACGUAUUUACCUACGGCCAACGUUUCAAUUUAUUGAUUGCCAAAAUUCUUCGCCGAAAAAAUGUCAUUGUCGACAUUGUAAAACCUCCCAUUGCCUUAAUUGGUCUCUUUGAAGAAAUUCUACGAAGAAGAUAUCCAGCAAAAUCGAGGGAAAGCAGGGUCCAAAACCACUACCUGUAGAAAUUAGAAACGAGGCGUUAAAAAGCUCUAUCCUCUUGAGCUCAGCGACUUGCUGGGAUUGCAACAAUUGAAAGGUACCUACGUAUUAUAUUUUUUUACUAUACCUAGUAUACUUAGAGAAGUUUAUGAUGGCGCAUGAAUAUAACCUUAUAAUUAUUGAAUUUGUUAUUUAACUAUAGGGGUAUUUUAUUAGGAGUUAGUAGGAAUUAGGUUUCCCUUUCCUGUCUAUUUUU